AAAUGAGCUUCCGUCCUGGAGAGUCAUUGGCAACAGACUUGGGACCAGCACUGGGACUUCUGUAGGAGACACAGCCCUAGUGACUCAAACACUUUGGGAAAUAGGCCAAAAUUAAGAGAGGAUCAUUAAUAAAACAGUGUCAAACAGGGCAGGACGGGCAAUCAGAUGGCAGGGAGCAUGGACAGAAAAGGGAUCCUGAGCACAGUUUGCAAAUUGUGGAGGGGAAAGUCAAACAUCAUUCUGCAUCCAACCCAGUGGAGUAUGCAGGAAAACCACAUUCCUGUCUCUAGACCCAUCAGUGUUCAACAGGCCAUACUUUUCCUCCUGAAUCCUUAUUGUCCACUGAGAUUCUUGCUUUGGUACUCACCAGGUCACCAUUUUUGCUAGUUCUCCUUGGCCACUUGUACAGAGAUCUUCUCCAGGGUUCUGAAAAGAGGAGUGUAUUCUGUCCCCUGUGAGUGAUUCACAGAGUGUUCUAUGUUGACACAUUUUGCACAGGCUGUAAAAAGCUCU
Molecule: long non-coding RNA, 513 nt
Filed under: Monodelphis domestica (gray short-tailed opossum)
Lineage: Eukaryota; Metazoa; Chordata; Mammalia; Didelphimorphia; Didelphidae
Description: lncRNA (ENSMODG00000032788.2)
Source: RNAcentral